UACAGAGGGUGCAAGCGUUAAUCGGAAUUACUGGGCGUAAAGCGCGCGUAGGUGGUUUGUUAAGUUGGAUGUGAAAUCCCCGGGCUCAACCUGGGAACUGCAUUCAAAACUGACAAGCUAGAGUAUGGUAGAGGGUGGUGGAAUUUCAGGUGUAGCGGUGAAAUGCGUAGAUAUCUGAAGGAACAUCAGUGGCGAAAGCGACUUCCUGGACCAAUACUGACGCUCAUGUGCGAAAGCGUGGGGAGCAAACAGG
Molecule: ribosomal RNA, 253 nt
Filed under: uncultured bacterium
Lineage: Bacteria
Description: partial 16S ribosomal RNA
Rfam family: Bacterial small subunit ribosomal RNA
Source: RNAcentral